GACGAACGCUGGCGGCGUGCUUAAUACAUGCAAGUCGAACGGAAAGGCGCUGCUCUUGUUGGGUGCUCGAGUGGCGAACGGGUGUGUAACACGCGAGUAACAUGCCCUUGACUUUGGGAUAACUUCAGGAAACUGGGGAGAAUACCGGAGAGGAGCUCCUGCUGCAUAGGGGGGGUUGGAAAGUUUGGGCGGUGCGGGAUGGAUUCGCGGGUUAUCAGCUUGUUGGGGGGGUAGGGGCUUACAAAGGGUUUGACGGGUAGCCCGCCUGAGAGGGUGAACGGCCACAUUGGUACUGAGAGACGCACCAGACUCCUACGGGCGGCAGCAGUGGGAAAUAUUGCACAAUGGGCGGAAGCCUGAUGCAGCAACGCCGCGUGCGGGAUGACCGCCUUCGGGUUGUAAACCGCUUUCUACUGUGACGAAGCGUGAGUGACGGUAAUGGGUAAAGAAGCACCGGCUAACUACGUG
This 468-nucleotide ribosomal RNA is filed under the name uncultured bacterium. RNAcentral's name for it is "partial 16S ribosomal RNA". It matches the Rfam family "Bacterial small subunit ribosomal RNA", at positions 28 to 507 of the family's 1533-position model. The record is from RNAcentral.